UAGGGAAUCUUCGGCAAUGGACGGAAGUCUGACCGAGCAACGCCGCGUGAGUGAAGAAGGUUUUCGGAUCGUAAAGCUCUGUUGUAAGAGAAGAACGAGUGUGAGAGUGGAAAGUUCACACUGUGACGGUAUCUUACCAGAAAGGGACGGCUAACUACGUGCCAGCAGCCGCGGUAAUACGUAGGUCCCGAGCGUUGUCCGGAUUUAUUGGGCGUAAAGCGAGCGCAGGCGGUUAGAUAAGUCUGAAGUUAAAGGCUGUGGCUUAACCAUAGUAGGCUUUGGAAACUGUUUAACUUGAGUGCAAGAGGGGAGAGUGGAAUUCCAUGUGUAGCGGUGAAAUGCGUAGAUAUAUGGAGGAACACCGGUGGCGAAAGUGGCUCUCUGGCUUGUAACUGACGCUGAGGCUCGAAAGCGUGGGGAGCAAACAGGAUUAGAUACCCUGGUAGUCCACGCUGUAAACGAUGAGUGCUAGGUGUUAGACCCUUUCCGGGGUUUAGUGCCGUAGCUAACGCGUUAAGCACUCCGCCUGGGGAGUACGACCGCAAGGUUG
Molecule: ribosomal RNA, 550 nt
Filed under: uncultured bacterium
Lineage: Bacteria
Description: bacterial SSU rRNA
Rfam family: Bacterial small subunit ribosomal RNA
Source: RNAcentral